CUACGGGUCGCUGCAGGCGCGAAACCUUUACAAUGCACGAAAGUGUGAUAAGGGAAUUCCGAGUGCUUAUGCUAUGCAUAGGCUUUUGCCAAGAGUAAAAAUCUUGGCGAAUAAGUGGUGGGAAAGACUGGUGCCAGCCGCCGCGGUAACCCCAGCGCCACAAGUGGGGGCCGAUUUUAUUUGGCCUAAAGCGUCCGUAGCCGGUCUAGUAAAUCUUUUGUGAAAUCGUUCGGCCUAACCGAACGGCGUGCAGAGGAGACUGCUAGACUAGGAACCGGGAGGAGUCAGAGGUAUGCGAGGGGGAGCGGUAAAAUGCUAUAAUCCCUGGCAGACCACCUGUGGCGAAGGCGUCUGACUAGAACGGAUUCGACGGUGAGGGACGAAAGCCAGGGGAGCGAACCGGAUUAGAUACCCCAGUAGUC
This 422-nucleotide ribosomal RNA is filed under the name uncultured archaeon. RNAcentral describes it as "partial 16S ribosomal RNA". It matches the Rfam family "Archaeal small subunit ribosomal RNA", at positions 323 to 746 of the family's 1478-position model. The record is from RNAcentral.